RNAcentral lists this long non-coding RNA (1074 nucleotides) under Eucalyptus grandis. RNAcentral describes it as "long non-coding RNA (EGRA_LNC007329)". The record is from RNAcentral. Lineage: Eukaryota; Viridiplantae; Streptophyta; Magnoliopsida; Myrtales; Myrtaceae.
CAGAACUAAUCUAUGAGUCCCCAUUUUUCACCUUAAUGAAUGCCAAAGGUGACUCAUAAACUUACAUCACUAUUGGAGUUGUUUUUGGAAUACCAUCUAGGUGCACACUUCACCAAUAUAAAAAUCAAUAACAUGUAAACCAUCAAGGCUCCAAGACAAUCAUUUAUAAAUUUUUACCAUAUAAAAACCAUCUCGUAAUCCCUUUCCUACUGAUAGCAACAUUUCCGUUCAUUAUGCGCGUGUGCGAGUGAUAGUGUUGAUUAGGUUUGUCUCAAUUUAUAAAGUUUAAUUGACAUUCAUCACUUGUCCUAUGAAAAAACUCACCACCUUUAUCUUUUGAGAGAGACGCCUUUGGAAAAGAAAAAUCAGAUGUAACAUUUCAAAUCUUACUCCUUAGACUCCCUUUCAUUUUAUUUAUUUAUUUAUUAUUUGUUUUUCCAUCCUUCAAAACGAUGUGCUAUAAUAUUAGAGAUUUCAUUGAGAAUUUACCAUAUCUAAUAUAUCCUAAUCAUUACGGAAUGACACUCACUGAUAAAGGCGUCUCUAUAAUAAAGUAGUUAAAACUUCACCAAAAGAAGGCACAAAAAGACUCAUCAUAUAUUUAACAAAUGUGCACCACAGGUGUUUAAUAAAUUGCAGAUGAGAUCCCUAGAUCAAAAUGUCAAAGGGUGCAUUUGGUUUAACAUUUCCAAUGGACUUUUAGCCUCUAAAGCCUCUUGAGGAAAUGCUGAACUGUUUGGUAAUCAUUUUAAAGUAGUUUUCAAAUGAAAGUCAACAUUGGGAAAGCUGAAAGCCCAAUACCAGUAGGGACUAGCUUUAAGCUUUCAACGUUUGGCCAAAUGCCGAAACUUCUUUUUUUCUUCCAAAACUAUCUUCACUCAUUCUUCAAAUUUCUGAUUUUGCCCUCAUUAUUAUUUUUUUAAAUGCCAAAAUAAUGCUAAAAAAAUCAAAUAUAUAUAAGUGCUAAAAAAAUUAAAUAUAUUUUGGUUUUUUAAAUUAUUUAUAUAUUUGAUUUUUUAGCAUAUAUAUUUAAUUUUUUAGCAUUAUUGUCAAAAUUUAUAUUAAAAAAGUUAC